CACGCGGUGGCCGGGAGGACUGAUGGGCCGAGGCCCCGGGAGGCCCGGCUUGGGGUAGCGUGAUUCGCUCAUUUGCCGCUGGCAGGAACCCCCAGGCCCCAAGGACACUCGCCUGUUCCUGGGAGGGAUAGAGGGGCCGCGUGCGGCUGAGUCCGUUGGAAACCACCUUUGCAAAAUUGUAACUGAGGAAACUGUGAUGGUGAAAGAAAUCAGACCUAACCAACUCCAUCUUGCUUCUAAUUUAAGCUGUCCUUGUUUAUGCCUGGGCGGAAGCCCGACUAACUUUGGGAAGGAAUUCAGUCCAUGGUUUGACUCUGAAACAAAAUUGAUAAAAGCCUGUGAACCCUGAAAAUGUGAGACAGGUGUCAGUUCAUUCAGAGAGUUUAUUUUGCCGGCAGGGCGAGGUGGCUCAGGCCUGUAAUCCCAGCACUUUGGGAGGCCGAGGCGUGCGGAUCACCUGAUAAGGGAAGCAUGAGACAACAAUCCUUGGAUCAGCUCAGUGGAUCAGCUGACACCACCCACACCGAUAAUCUGCUUCAACCUGUUCUGCCGUCCCAACCAGGAACAGACAACAGCAAGAAAAACUCGGACAACCUCUGAUUCCAUCUUCAACCUGGCCAAUCAGCACUCCCCACUUCCCAAGCUCCUGCCCGCCCAAUUGUCUUUAAAAACUCUGUUCCUUGAAUGCUCAGAGAGAUUGAUUUGAGUAAUAAUAAAACUCCAGUCUCCCGCA
Molecule: non-coding RNA, 733 nt
Organism: Macaca mulatta (Rhesus monkey)
Lineage: Eukaryota; Metazoa; Chordata; Mammalia; Primates; Cercopithecidae
Source: RefSeq, a predicted model, not a curated record